RNAcentral lists this ribosomal RNA (301 nucleotides) under uncultured bacterium. Its description in RNAcentral is "partial 16S ribosomal RNA". It matches the Rfam family "Bacterial small subunit ribosomal RNA", at positions 509 to 809 of the family's 1533-position model. The record is from RNAcentral.
CAGUCGCCGCGGUAAUACGUAGGUGGCAAGCGUUGUCCGGAAUUAUCGGGCGUAAAGCGCGCGCAGGUGGUUUAAUAAGUCUGAUGUGAAAGCCCACGGCUCAACCGUGGAGGGUCAUUGGAAACUGUUAAACUUGAGUGCAGGAGAGAAAAGUGGAAUUCCUAGUGUAGCGGUGAAAUGCGUAGAGAUUAGGAGGAACACCAGUGGCGAAGGCGGCUUUUUGGCCUGUAACUGACACUGAGGCGCGAAAGCGUGGGGAGCAAACAGGAUUAGAUACCCCUGUAGUCCCUGUCUCUUAUAA